CUCAUGGUUUCACGGUAUUGCAAUGAGAACAAUUUAAAACCCUUAGCGAGAAUCAAGUGGAGGACAAGUCUGGUGCCAGCACCCGCGGUAAUUCCAGCUCCACUAGCGUAUAUUAAAGUUGUUGCAGUUAAAAAGCUCGUAGUUGAACCUCUGUCUGGGGCUAGUUUUGGCUUUGGUCAGGCUAGUUCUAGGCAUCCGCCUACAAGACUUAGAGGGCAUUCAGUUGUUCACUAGGAGGAGUAGGCAUUUUACUUUGAAAAAACUAGAGUGUUUAAGGCAGGCAAUCGCCCGCAUAUAUUAGCAUGGAAUAAUAGAAUAGGACACUUUUCCAUUUCGUUGGUUAUUGGAAUCGUGUAAUGAUUAAUAGGGACAGUUGUGGGCAUUUGUAUUUAAUUGUCAGAGGUGAAAUUCUUGGAUUUAUUAAAGACGAACUAACGCGAAAGCAUUUGCCAAGGAUGUUUUCAUUAAUCAAGAACGAAAGUUAGGGGAUCAAAGACGAUCAGAUACCGUCCUAGUCUUAACUAUAAACUAUUCCGACUCAAUGUUUGACUGGCUUAUAUAACCAGUUGAGCGUUGUAUGAGAAAUCAAAGUCUUUAGGUUCUGGGGGGAGUAUGGUUGCAAAGCUGAAACUUAAAGGAAUUGACGGAAGAGCACAACCAGGAGUGGAUUCUGCGGCUUAAUUUGACUCAACACGGGGAAACUUACCAGGUUAAAACAAUAGUGGGAUUGACAGUUUGAGAGCGCUUUCUUGAUUGGUUGGGUGGUGGUGCAUGGCCGUUCUUAGUUGGUGGAGUGAUUUGUCUGCUUAAUUGCGUUAACGAACGAGACCUUAACCUGCUUACUAGACUGGCGAUCAUCAAUCGUUAGCUCUUCUUAGAGGGACUUUGGUUGUUUUAACUCCAAGGAAGUUUGAGGCAAUAACAGGUCUGUGAUGCCCUUAGAUAUCCUGGGCCGCACGCGUCAUACAAUGACUAGUUCAGAAAGUUUUCUCCUGACCCGAAAGGGGAUGGGUAAUCUUGAUAAUACUAGUCGUGUUAGGGAUCGAUCUUUGCAAUUAUAGAUCUUGAACGAGGAAUUCCUAGUAAGUGCGGUUCAUCAGACCGUACUGAUUACGUCCCUGCUCUUUGUACACACCGCCCGUCGCUUCUACCGAGUGGGUGGUCCGGUGAGAUAAUUGAACUUCGCAGGUAACUGAGAGGAAAGAUUAUCAAACCUAUCCACCU
Molecule: ribosomal RNA, 1224 nt
Filed under: metagenome
Description: SSU rRNA
Rfam family: Eukaryotic small subunit ribosomal RNA
Source: RNAcentral